Callithrix jacchus (white-tufted-ear marmoset) is the source of this 1853-nucleotide long non-coding RNA. The record is from Ensembl. Lineage: Eukaryota; Metazoa; Chordata; Mammalia; Primates; Cebidae.
UAAUACAUGAGAAACUAGGUUUUAUAUGAAGAUGAUUUUGUUUUGUUCCCCAAUAUUUUGUUUUCAUGAUAACAAAAAACAAAAAACAAAACAAAAAAAAAACAAUGACUGAAGGAGUUUUCACAUUAUUAAGUGAACUGCAUAAGGAAGAUCUGGAGUAAAAAAUAUUUUUAAUAUCUAGAAGUUUCACAGGAGAAUGUGCUUAAAUAAAUCAACAGAACACCUUGUAUUACUUGAGGAGUUCAAAUGUUGGAAGUUCUCAAGUGCCUGAUUUUGUGGUCCCAAACUUCUCUCUCACUUGCAGAUGCUCUGUGCAUUCAGUAGCAGGGGUAUUGUUAAAUUUGAGAAGACAAGCCAAUAACCCUUAACUUCCAUAACAUUCAUAUUAAGUGCAGAAGAAUUAAAUGUUGUGUUGCAAAUAUGCACAUCUGGCUUUUCUGUUGUAAUCUUAUAUUAUUCUAGUAGUUGACUUUAGGAAAAAAAUGUUAAUUGCUAUGCAACUAAACUCCAAGAAAUAUGCUUUAUCAAGUGUUUUAAUAAGAUAUAUACUGUUUAUUUUUGCUUGAUUUCUUUUAAGAAUUUACAGAACACAAUGCCUAAACACUAUCCUUGCCCUUGGUCUUCCUUUUGUAUAUCAACUCUAUCUAAACCAGGGAUCUAUUGUCAAUGUAUUGGCCAUUAAGGGAUAACAAGUCAUCGCUGAGCACUCAGAAAUGAAUGAGAUGGAGUUUCACCAUGUUUCCCAGUCUUUUCUUAAAUUCUUGAGCCCAAGACAUCCUCCUCCUUGGCCUCCCAAAGUGCUAGGAUUACAGAUGUGUGCCACUCUGCCCAGACUCUAUUAGGAAUUUAGACUUUGAGAAAUUAAAUGGCUUAUACUUAUGUCAUACAACCAGUAAUUCCAGGUGCACCAUUCUGUUGUCCUACACCUUUGGAGUGGUUUUGCUUAGAAAGGAUGAAACAAUUCAGCUGUCAUUUUAAUAUAAAAGACUUUUUAGGACACAGGGUGUUUUGAGGUGAUGCCUUGACUUGCAUUAUAAAAAUACUGACAGCUAUCAAAAUGUCAACUUGCAUCUCCUUUGUUGCAGACUUGAUACCAAAGUGUUGGAUAUUUACUUACCAAGAAUGAAAUGGGCUAUAUAUUCUCAGUGCCCCCAAAAAGAAUAUGUGAAUAAAAAUGAAAAAGUGCAAGAGUGAAAUUAUAGGAUUUGUCUGUGCUCUGCUGUCUUAACGGGAGGCAGGAGCAUGGUCCUUAUCUGCUCUCUCAUAUCAAGGGGAUAAAAGAAUCUUGGCUUAUAACUUAAAUUUUAGUGGUUUUAUAUCAGUCGUUGUACUUUUUAGAGUUUCACUUUCUUUAUUAGAACUGAGGUGGACCUCAGGGAUCUGCCAAAGUUCUUUUGGUGUUGUUGUUACUUUGUUUUUGAAAAUCAUAGAAUAAUUCUCUAAUGACAUAUAGCAAUCUUUUGGCAUGGCUUGACCUGUCCAGAUUUUUCCGGCACCCAUCCUAGAAUUUUCAGGUUUUUUUCACAUCUCCUCUUAAUGACACUUUUCUUAGAGAAAGUUUUCCCACAGCCCGCCAAGCUCAGUAAAGUUUCAUUAUUACAUGCUGUCAUAGAAUAGCAUUCUUUACCUGCAUUGCACGUUUAUCAACUUUUCAUUAUGCAUUUAUUUUAGGGUUACUUAAUCAGUACCAGCUUCUCUUAUUUGACUCUAGACGUCACAACAUCUGGAAACUUAUCUUUCUGCUCAUUUUUGUAAUAGUGCCCUGUAUUAUUAGACUAAAUUUAGUUUCUCAGUAAUGUUUAUUAAAUGACAAGAUGAAUAAAUAAUGUUUCUUUUUUUAACUUCUCUGAGCC